UAAAAUGAUAUUGGAUUCUGAGCGGAGCGAGAAAUGUAUUGAUUUUAUAACGGUGUUUGUUUUAUUCCUGAGACUUCUAACUACCCGCCACUUUACCUGGUAAUCAUUUCAAUGUUUGACGUUCGUUUAUCCGCCGUAAUCGCGUUAUUUAUUAUGUCGACAAACACUUACCUAACCUUUAGUCCUUCCGACUUUUUGUUUGUAAAUG
This is a non-coding RNA of Cinara cedri, 208 nucleotides long. Lineage: Eukaryota; Metazoa; Arthropoda; Insecta; Hemiptera; Aphididae. The record is from the annotation of a GenBank genome assembly.